GAUGAACGCUGGCGGCGUGCUUAACACAUGCAAGUCGAACGGAGCUUAGAAGGAAGCUUGCUUUCAUUUAAGCUUAGUGGCGGACGGGUGAGUAACGCGUGAGCAACCUGCCCUCGAGUGGGGAAUAACAUCGAGAAAUCGGUGCUAAUACCGCAUAAUGUCGAGAGACCGCAUGAUCUUUCGACCAAAGGAUUUAUUCGCUUGAGGAUGGGCUCGCGUCCGAUUAGCUAGUUGGUGAGGUAACGGCCCACCAAGGCUUCGAUCGGUAGCCGAACUGAGAGGUUGAUCGGCCACAUUGGGACUGAGACACGGCCCAGACUCCUACGGGAGGCAGCAGUGGGGAAUAUUGGGCAAAUGGGCGAAAGCCCUGACCCAGCAACGCCGCGUGAAGGAUGAAGGUCUUCGGAUUGUAAACUUCUUUGAUUGCGGAAGAAUAAAAU
RNAcentral lists this ribosomal RNA (440 nucleotides) under bacterium FB3005. RNAcentral describes it as "bacterial SSU rRNA". It matches the Rfam family "Bacterial small subunit ribosomal RNA", at positions 28 to 455 of the family's 1533-position model. The record is from RNAcentral.